This is a long non-coding RNA of Ailuropoda melanoleuca (giant panda), 1329 nucleotides long. RefSeq lists it as uncharacterized. Lineage: Eukaryota; Metazoa; Chordata; Mammalia; Carnivora; Ursidae. The record is from RefSeq and is a predicted model, not a curated record. The transcript is spliced from 2 exons.
CAGGAUCAUGCCCUGAGCUGAAGGCAGACGCUUAAUGACUGCGCUACCCAGGCGCCCCUGAUGAGAGAAGACUGAAAACUCAAGACCCUUGCAUGGAUAAGAUAAUCUGAAAAAACAAGUAGAUGUCUCAGGACUGUCACUCAGCUAUCACUAGGCAAACGUGUCAUUUACUGUCCAAAAUGAGGACACCUUUGAAACAGAAAGGGCACUACUAAUAGUUAUACCAGGAAAUAAUGAUGAACCAGGUCUCUCUCAGACAGAUGAAGAUGUAUGAUUAAUGUGUCACUGCACCCACAUUGUGUUGGUUCAACCUCAAAAGUACUUUCUAGCUAUCUAAAAUAUAUCCUGCAUUUCAUGCUUUUUCAUAGUCUCUACUACUGCAACAUCAAGUCACUUUUUUCAUGCCUAGAUUGUUAUAAUAGACUCGUUAAUAGUCUUUGCUUACACCUUCCUCUCCCCUCCACCCCAUUUCCUCAGCCAAUUUUCCACACAGUGACCAAAGAUAUCAUUUUUAGAGAGUGGUUCUAUACUGGGAGAAAUUUUGCCUGCCUUGGGAUAUUCAGCAAUGUCUGGAGACAAUUGUGAUUUACACCACUUGGUGGCUGCUGUUGGCAAUAAGUGGGUAGAGGCCAGGGAUGCUGUAAAGAUCCUACAGGUCCAGAUGCUAGCCCCCACAACAAAGAAUUAUCUAGCCAAAAAUGCAAAUAGUGCCAUAAUUGAGAAGCUCUAUUGUAAAGUAUAAAUCAGAUCAUAUCACACCUCCAGUUAAAGUUCUCCAACAUAUGUAAAAUAAAACCCAAUUACCUUACCACAGAGGACCUCUUCUUAUCCUCUACAUCCUUUAUCUCUCUGACUCAUAACUUCCUACAGUCUCCCCUCCCACCCCACUUUUCUGGCAACGUCUUCUUUCUUCAAGUCUGGCUGGUCCCAACCUGGGCGUCUGCCUGAACGGUUCUUCUCUUGGGUUUCUGCCUGGCUGGCUUCAUCUCAUCCUCAGGUCUCAGAUCAAAUGUUAUCUACUCAGACAGUCUUUUCUGACUACCUUUAGCUGAAGUAGCAUGGCCCCAUCAAAUCCACCCUCUGUCCAUCAAAACCAUUCUCAUUAUUCCUCUAGUUCUAUUCUCUACACAGCACUUUUGCAAAGAAAAUUCAUUUACUUAUUGCCCUGUUUCUUUCAUCAACUUCUCUCCAUUAUAAUGUAAGCUUGUCUGCUUUUUUCUUUACCAAAUUCCCGAUGCCCAGAGCAGAACAGAUCCUGGUAAAGAGGAAGCAAGCAAUAGAUACUUAUCAUUGGAAAAACAACUACAGUAAAUCACCCUGAUAGAGAAA